CUACGGGAGGCAGCAGGCGAGAAAACUUUGCAAUGUGCGAAAGCACGACAAGGUUAAUCCGAGUGGUUUGUGCUAAACGAACCUUUUGACAGUCCUAGAAACACUGUUGAAUAAGGGGUGGGCAAGUUCUGGUGUCAGCCGCCGCGGUAAAACCAGCACCUCAAGUGGUCAGGAUGAUUAUUGGGCCUAAAGCAUCCGUAGCCGGCUCUGUAAGUUUUCGGGUAAAUCUGUACGCUCAACGUACAGGCUGCCGGGAAUACUGCAGAGCUAGGGAGUGGGAGAGGUAGACGGUACUCGGUAGGAAGGGGUAGAAUCCUUUGAUCUAUUGAUGACCACCUGUGGCGAAGGCGGUCUACCAGAACACGUCCGACGGUGAGGGAUGAAAGCUGGGGGAGCAAACCGGAUUAGUACCCUUGUAGUC
This 421-nucleotide ribosomal RNA is filed under the name uncultured archaeon. RNAcentral describes it as "partial 16S ribosomal RNA". It matches the Rfam family "Archaeal small subunit ribosomal RNA", at positions 323 to 746 of the family's 1478-position model. The record is from RNAcentral.